Molecule: transfer RNA, 71 nt
Filed under: Azospirillum brasilense
Lineage: Bacteria; Pseudomonadati; Pseudomonadota; Alphaproteobacteria; Rhodospirillales; Azospirillaceae
Description: tRNA-Gln
Rfam family: tRNA
About the family: Transfer RNA (tRNA) molecules are approximately 80 nucleotides in length.
Source: RNAcentral
UGGGGGAUCGUCUAGCGGUAGGACUCCAGACUCUGACUCUGGCUACCUAGGUUCGAAUCCUAGUCCCCCAA